UGGGGAAUUUUGGACAAUGGGCGAAAGCCUGAUCCAGCAAUGCCGCGUGUGUGAAGAAGGCCUUCGGGUUGUAAAGCACUUUUGUCCGGAAAGAAAUCCUUGGCUCUAAUACAGUCGGGGGAUGACGGUACCGGAAGAAUAAGCACCGGCUAACUACGUGCCAGCAGCCGCGGUAAUACGUAGGGUGCAAGCGUUAAUCGGAAUUACUGGGCGUAAAGCGUGCGCAGGCGGUUUGCUAAGACCGAUGUGGAAUCCCCGGGCUCAACCUGGGAACUGCAUUGGUGACUGGCAGGCUAGAGUAUGGCAGAGGGGGGUAGAAUUCCACGUGUAGCAGUGAAAUGCGUAGAGAUGUGGAGGAAUACCGAUGGCGAAGGCAGCCCCCUGGGCCAAUACUGACGCUCAUGCACGAAAGCGUGGGGGAGCAAACAGGAUUAGAUACCCUGGUAGUCCACGCCCUAAACGAUGUCAACUAGUUGUUGGGGAUUCAUUUCCUUAGUAACGUAGCUAACGCGUGAAGUUGACCGCCUGGGGGAGUACGGUCGCAAGAUUAAAACUUAAAUGAAUUGACGGGG
RNAcentral lists this ribosomal RNA (572 nucleotides) under uncultured bacterium. RNAcentral's name for it is "partial 16S ribosomal RNA". It matches the Rfam family "Bacterial small subunit ribosomal RNA", at positions 355 to 918 of the family's 1533-position model. The record is from RNAcentral.